GACGAACGCUGGCGGCGUGCUUAACACAUGCAAGUCGAACGGAAAGGCCCUGCUUUUGUGGGGUGCUCGAGUGGCGAACGGGUGAGUAACACGUGAGUAACCUGCCCUUGACUUUGGGAUAACUUCAGGAAACUGGGGCUAAUACCGGAUAGGAGCUCCUGCUGCAUGGUGGGGGUUGGAAAGUUUCGGCGGUUGGGGAUGGACGCGCGGCUUAUCAGCUUGUUGGUGGGGUAGUGGCUUACCAAGGCUUUGACGGGUAGCCGGCAUGAGAGGGUGACCGGCCACAUUGGGACUGAGAUACGGCCCAGACUCCUACGGGAGGCAGCAGUGGGGAAUAUUGCACAAUGGGCGGAAGCCUGAUGCAGCAACGCCGCGUGCGGGAUGACGGCCUUCGGGUUGUAAACCGCUUUCGCCUGUGACGAAGCGUGAGUGACGGUAAUGGGUAAAGAAGCACCGGCUAACUACGUG
Molecule: ribosomal RNA, 468 nt
Filed under: uncultured bacterium
Lineage: Bacteria
Description: partial 16S ribosomal RNA
Rfam family: Bacterial small subunit ribosomal RNA
Source: RNAcentral